CCUACGGGAGGCUGCAGUGAGGAAUAUUGGUCAAUGGACGAAAGUCUGAACCAGCCAAGCCGCGUGAAGGACGAAGGUGCUAAGCAUUGUAAACUUCUUUUGUCAAGGGACAAAAUGAUGCUCGUGAGUCUGUCUGUGUGUACUGUAUGAAAAAGGAUCGGCUAACUACGUGCCAGCAGCCGCGGUAAUACGGAGGAUGCGAGCGUUAUCCGGGUUUAUUGGGUUUAAAGGGUGCGUAGGUGGGUUUGUAAGUCAGUUGUGAAAGGCGGGGGCGCAACCGGCGCGGUGCAGUUGAAACUGGCAGUCUUGAGUUGAGUAGAGGUGUGCGGAAUGCGUAGUGUAGCGGUGAAAUGCUUAGAUA
Molecule: ribosomal RNA, 361 nt
Filed under: uncultured bacterium
Lineage: Bacteria
Description: partial 16S ribosomal RNA
Rfam family: Bacterial small subunit ribosomal RNA
Source: RNAcentral